Molecule: ribosomal RNA, 394 nt
Filed under: Donghicola sp.
Lineage: Bacteria; Pseudomonadati; Pseudomonadota; Alphaproteobacteria; Rhodobacterales; Roseobacteraceae
Description: bacterial SSU rRNA
Rfam family: Bacterial small subunit ribosomal RNA
Source: RNAcentral
GGCUCAGAACGAACGCUGGCGGCAGGCCUAACACAUGCAAGUCGAGCGAGAACUUCGGUUCUAGCGGCGGACGGGUUAGUAACGCGUGGGAACGUGCCCUUCACUACGGAAUAGUCCCGGGAAACUGGGUUUAAUACCGUAUACGCCCUUCGGGGGAAAGAAUUUCGGUGAAGGAUCGGCCCGCGUUAGAUUAGAUAGUUGGUGGGGUAAUGGCCUACCAAGUCUACGAUCUAUAGCUGGUUUUAGAGGAUGAUCAGCAACACUGGGACUGAGACACGGCCCAGACUCCUACGGGAGGCAGCAGUGGGGAAUCUUAGACAAUGGGCGCAAGCCUGAUCUAGCCAUGCCGCGUGAGUGAUGAAGGCCUUAGGGUCGUAAAGCUCUUUCGCCAGGG